RNAcentral lists this ribosomal RNA (496 nucleotides) under uncultured bacterium. RNAcentral describes it as "partial 16S ribosomal RNA". It matches the Rfam family "Bacterial small subunit ribosomal RNA", at positions 28 to 506 of the family's 1533-position model. The record is from RNAcentral.
GAUGAACGCUGGCGGCGUGCCUAAUACAUGCAAGUCGAGCGAACAGACGAGGAGCUUGCUCCUCUGACGUUAGCGGCGGACGGGUGAGUAACACGUGGAUAACCUACCUAUAAGACUGGGAUAACUUCGGGAAACCGGAGCUAAUACCGGAUAAUAUAUUGAACCGCAUGGUUCAAUAGUGAAAGACGGUUUUGCUGUCACUUAUAGAUGGAUCCGCGCCGCAUUAGCUAGUUGGUAAGGUAACGGCUUACCAAGGCAACGAUGCGUAGCCGACCUGAGAGGGUGAUCGGCCACACUGGAACUGAGACACGGUCCAGACUCCUGCGGGAGGCAGCAGUAGGGAAUCUUCCGCAAUGGGCGAAAGCCUGACGGAGCAACGCCGCGUGAGUGAUGAAGGUCUUCGGAUCGUAAAACUCUGUUAUUAGGGAAGAACAAAUGUGUAAGUAACUAUGCACGUCUUGACGGUACCUAAUCAGAAAGCCACGGCUAACUACGU